Daphnia pulex (common water flea) is the source of this 3811-nucleotide RNA transcript. It is a transcript of the gene named diphthine methyl ester synthase-like, with no coding region annotated. The transcript is spliced from 9 exons. NCBI's taxonomy places the organism in Eukaryota, Metazoa, Arthropoda, Branchiopoda, Diplostraca, Daphniidae. The record is from RefSeq and is a predicted model, not a curated record.
AUGUUGUUUUGAAUCGAAAAAUCGUCUGCUGAUACACGUUUUGAUUUUCCUUUGCUCGCUAGAAAUUAUUGCAAAAUGCUGUAUUUGGUUGGUUUAGGUUUAGGCGACCCUAAAGAUAUUACAGUCAGAGGUCUAGAAAUAGUAAAAGCAGCAGAUGAAGUAUAUCUGGAAGCCUAUACAUCUAUAUUAACAGUUGGAAAGGAGGCCUUGGAACAAUUUUAUGGCAGAGAAGUUAUUUUGGCUGACAGAGAGUUUGUGGAACAAAAGGCUGAAUCGUUUAUUGAAUCAGCUAGAAACAGCAAUAUCGCUUUCUUAGUUGUCGGGGAUCCAUUUGGUGCCACAACUCACACAGACCUUGUGUUAAGAGCCAAAGAAGUUGGAGUUCCCUUCCAAGUGGUGCACAACACUUCCAUUCUCAAUGCUGUGGGUUGUUGUGGACUUCAGUUGUACAGUUUUGGAGAAACUGUGUCAAUACCAUUUUGGACAGAUACAUGGAAACCAGAUAGUUUCUUUGAGAAAAUUGAAGGAAACUUGGAUAGAGGAUUGCACACCUUGUGUUUACUUGAUAUCAAGGUGAAAGAACAGACAAUUGAGAAUAUGAUGAAGAAUAGACCAAUCUUCGAACCCCCACGAUUUAUGAGCAAUCAGCAAGCUGCCGAACAGCUGAUCCAAGUCGUCAAAUCCAAAGACAACGCGUCAAAAUUGACUGGAGACACUUUAUGUGUUGGUGUGGCACGAGUUGGCUGGCCGGACCAGAAGAUUAGUGUUUGUACGCUGAAUGAAAUGUUGAAUUGUGAGUUGGGCCAACCACUUCACUCUUUGGUCAUCGUGGGAAAAAUCCAUCCUCUCGAAUUGGACUUUUUACGCAUGUUCAAUCCCGAUAUCACCCCGCCCGACAGUUCCUAACGGAAUACGCGGGCAGGCAAAAUGUUGGAGAAUACCUCGCUGGAACGAAAUGACCGUGUCGCUUAUCUCCUCGAUCAAGUGCACCCGCCUUCCCUUGAUACCCAUCACUGGCGAAGCGAAAUAGCCGUUUUGGGAGGCCCAUAUUAUGUCAGACAGUUCAUUUCAAAUAGUCAUGAGAUUCUACUCGUUUUGUACCUUUUCCAGAAUCGGCGUUCCUGAUGACUACUUCGUCUUUGAUAGAGUUCUUGGCCGGGGGGACACUGCCGCUAUUCGUGAUGUUAUAUUUGCCAGAGGACUUGACCACUUCACCAGGUAACAGCAGUGGCAAGGGACUAACCGGAGGCGAAGAUGGCUCGUUCUGCCCCGCAUUCUGGCCGACACUAUCUAUAGUGCCAGGGGCUUGCUAUUACCGAUAUGCAAAACAAGGCUAUAAGUAGGGCAGAGCAUCAAUCAAAUAACAUUAUAAGUAAGACAUACCACCAACUCAUUGAACUUUGAUUGAUAGUAGUUAUUAACUUGCUCUUGGGCUGACCAACGUCCAGCUCUCAGCUCUACCACCUCCAAAAGGUGCAAGCGAGAAACUUUAUCCAGGCUGUCAUCCCUGCCUGCAUUACGAAGAUGAAUGAAGACACGAUCCAGUUGAUCUGAAAACACAAAUAUGUAACUUAAAGAGUUCAAGAUGGGUGAAAUUUGGAGAAGAACUAAAUUACCUUUACAGUUAAUUUCUAAUUGAGCUCCAAAAUUCUUGAGAUUUGCACAAAGAGUGAGGACAGCAGGACGAAGAUCUUUAUCAGAUGAAUUUGACUGUGCCAAUUCAAUGAAAUUUUCCAUGAAUUGGACAACCUCUGAAACUAAAUCAACCAUAUCGAUAUUAAUACGUUGAAGGGAAAAUAUAAUAAAUGAAUGUUUGACGAACUAUUUUGAAAAAUUCCACUAGCUCCUUGUGUAACAUCUUUGUUCUUGAGCAGAAGUUGUGGGUUCUUGGUUCUCACAUUCCUGGGAGCUCUGGCAAAAGGUGUUCCUAUCACAGACGUCAUGUUGACUAAGGCAAGUUACUCCUGUUUAAGAGAGAAAACCAAAUUCGUUGUAAAAUGUGCCACGAAUAUGUCUAAACGUCGAGGUAAACUUUGGGCCUUGAAUUUCCCCUUCUUUCUUCGUAUAACGUGGUCGUGCACACCUCAUAACAGGACGAAUAAUUUUGUUGUUUACUUGAAUUGUAUAUUUACCUUUGACUUUUUGAGUAACUUAAAAGCAGCUGUGAAGCUCGCCCAAAAUAUUUGACGACGCCCUUAAACAAACCACGUCUUCUUCUCACAUCUGCUGUCCUCACUGGCUGUGUAAGACGAAUUCGACCGUGUAUAAUAACGUUGGCACGACACGAUUAGAGUUACACAACCAAGUAAUUAUUUUGAUCGACAGAUGUCGCGGGACUUUCAACACAGUUCAAAUUCUUCUUUUUUUACAUGAAAACCGGAAAACUAAAACUAUAAUAACUAAAUAGAAUUUUUCUUUUAUUUCCUUUCUUUAUUUGCGCCAUAAAAUAUAUAAGCGGAUUUAAAUUUGAAGAAAAUCAAUUUGGCACAGAUAAUGUUGCUUUUCUCAAGUUCCCCAAGACAAAAGGAAUUUCCUGUUCGCGGUUUUAUAGCUACAGGGGAUCAAAUGUAACAUGGACUCGAAGCCGCUUCGAUUUUCUCAUGUUGAAUGGACUCCGAUCAAAAUCAACCAAUACCGCUGGAUUAUUAACACCUUUGAAGUUCCAGGGCGUGGCAAUUAGUUCCACGAUCCUCGUUACAAGUCCUUUGUUUGAAGUUUCCUCCGCUAAAAUGGACUCUACUGUAACGCCGCUUCGAAAUUGACUCAUCUGUCCUUUUAAAAGAUGUUCGUUAUGUUAGCAACAGUUUCACUUUUCUGUUCAAUUGCAAAUCUGUAUUGAAAGGGUGCAGUGAAUUUUAAGUCAAAUUGGACGUCACACCCAUUUUUCAGAAAAUGGAAUCUAGUUCAUCUAAAGAGUUGCCUUCGAAAGAAUUAUUUUCAAAGCUCCAAUGGGAAAGUGCAGAGAUGAUCAAAAUACCCGACAAACAUUACACCGAUACGUAUCAUCUAUUCCACCGACGAGUUGGCGAUGUUAGCUCAAAACUGUUGGCAAAUUCAUCCGAUUUGGCAGGAGAUAAAACGGUACAAGUUUCUGCUGGAAUUGGGUCCUUCAUAUCUGGUAGAGUGGGUCAUGUAUUGAAUUAUUUCUCUCCGGCAGAGCAAUAUCCUCUUCCUGAUCACGAGCAAGUUCGUUCGCUAGACACUACGUCUUUCAAAGAUAUGACCGAAAUUAUUGUUCAAAAUUGUAAACCAAGUCAUUCAGAAACUUUUUCCAAGACAACCAAAGCGACCAAUUUAAAGUCUUUAAAGAAAUUUGUUAAGGAUGCCACGGAAUCUAUUGCUGAAAACUUUGGGGUCAUUCCUCCGACAAUUUAUUUAAAUUUGUUAAAAUCCAUCAUAUCCAUUCUGGAUGAUGCGGAAUUGCUAGAAAGUGAGGAAGAAACGAAAAUGGAAAAAGAGAACAAUUCAAUUGAAGUUCACAAAACGGGCCUCGUCGUUAUCGCUUAUUACCGCUACGAGUUCCAUGGUAAAAUCACGCAAAACUGUUGUUCUACUACCCACGACGCUAAUGUAGCGAUUGAAGUGAAAGUCUGGAAGUUUUCCUCUACUGCCGACUUGGAGAAAGAAUACGACAAAAUCACACAUCAGAAUGGAGAUGCUCCUCCUCCUUCAGUGCCUGGUGUAGGAGACCUAUUUUGAACUUAAAAAUUCUUGGUUAAUUAAAUGUUUAAUUCUUCAAUUGCAAGGCAACAGCGUGAUCCAAGAGUGCGGCUCCCUUUCAAAAUAAAAAUUAGAAAUGUUGAAACAGAAA